GACGAACGCUGGCGGCGUGCCUAAUACAUGCAAGUAGAACGCUGACGGAGGAGCUUGCUGCUCUGGAUGAGUGGCGAACGGGGGAGGAAGGCGUAGGUAACCUGCUUGGCAGCGGGGGAUAACUAUUGGAAAGGAUAGCUAAUACCGCAUAAUAUUGACUAUUGCAUGAUAAGCAGGUGAAAGUUGCAACUGCACCACUACCAGAUGGACCUGCGGUGUAUUAGCGUGUUGGGGGGGUAACGGCUCAACAAGGCGACGAUACAUAGCCGACCCGAGAGGGGGGUUGGCCCACCUUGGACCUGGACCCCGCCCCAACCCCCUCGGGGGGCAGCCGGAGGGGAACUUCGGCCAUGGGCGGAAGUCUGACCGAACACAGCCGCGGGAGGGGAAGAAGGUCUCGGGUCGUAAAACUCUGUUGUUAGGGAAGAAAGAGUGUGAGGGUGGAACGCUCACGCUGUGACGGUAUCUUAAGAGAAAGCGCCGGCUAACUACGUG
This 495-nucleotide ribosomal RNA is filed under the name uncultured bacterium. RNAcentral describes it as "partial 16S ribosomal RNA". It matches the Rfam family "Bacterial small subunit ribosomal RNA", at positions 28 to 507 of the family's 1533-position model. The record is from RNAcentral.